UUUCUCCUGUCAAAUUGAUGUUAAUUAAUAGAUAAAAUUGUGAUAUUCUUUAGCAAAAUAAAGUGGCUGAUCAUAAGUUCUAACAAAGAUUUCAACCAUUGAUAUUCCUCCUACGAUAAGUUCAUAGUUUUUAAGUUUAUGAUUUAAAUUGUUGAAAAACAUCAACUUUUAUUAUUUUACUUUGUCGAGCUUAUGUAUUUUAUGGUAGCUCAUCUCAUUGCAUGUUAUAUAUACGCCUUUUUGUUUCAUUUAGAAGUCUAGGAGGCAACAAUUUUUUUGUUCAACAUGCGUUUUAGUGGUGAAAUGGCAUUUUCAUAUUGGAAAUCUAUGACAAUACAACGGACUAUUUAAUUUCCUGUUUAUGGGGAUUGAAAAGGGUGUUAUUCUUCAGGAAGCUAGGGUUUUCAAUGAUCCUCAAUUGAAUGCAACAAGAUGCUCAUAGAUAGUGUUAUUUGGAGUUCAAGGGGAAUAAUGGGUGAACACUACAACAAAGUUGCUUGAUAGAGCAAUGGGUGGUUCAUUUAGAGGUUUAAUGACUUUUGACGAGCAACAAGUAUUGUUGCGUUGUUAGUAUCAUUUGCUCUUCCUUUUAAGGAGCUAUGGUCUAUCAAUUAGAAUAAAGGACAGGCUAAGCUCUUAAAAUAAUGACAACAAAGAGAUGGAGAUACUCCAAAACUUUUUGUAAUUUUUGAAGUGGCAAGAAGUAUGAUUACCAACCAAGCUGAUGACUAUAACUCCUGCUCAGAGGAAAUGAUGAUUUCAACUAAAGAAAUUUAUUUGGACAACUACUGAGGCAAAUGAAAGCAAGACAUCUUGACGCUCUGACUACUGGACAUGUGAGGCUACAACAUAUGCAACAAAUCAAAAUAUGUUCAAAACAGAGAGAUCAAAAAACAAAUCCAUCUACAAUGCUAAAAGAAAAUGCAAAUCAAACGGCAGGAAAGUAGAGCUCACAUACAUUUUAGUUUUUUUUUAAAAAAAAAAGAUUUGUGAGAGGAAGUGA
Molecule: long non-coding RNA, 1003 nt
Organism: Solanum stenotomum
Lineage: Eukaryota; Viridiplantae; Streptophyta; Magnoliopsida; Solanales; Solanaceae
Exons: 5
Source: RefSeq, a predicted model, not a curated record